RNAcentral lists this long non-coding RNA (3238 nucleotides) under Carassius auratus (goldfish). Its description in RNAcentral is "lncRNA (ENSCARG00000067139.1)". The record is from RNAcentral. Lineage: Eukaryota; Metazoa; Chordata; Actinopteri; Cypriniformes; Cyprinidae.
CCUGACACCGACACGAGAGCGACUGCGCAUGUGCGAGCGGCGCACGCAAGCGCUACUGUACUGAGUGAGAUUCUUGGUUAGCUUAGCCUGUCCUAUCCAAGUAGCCCAGCACUCUGGGGUUACUCGUCCUAUCCCGAAGCGUGUGAGCUGAAGGAGAGUGGACGGGCUCGUGAAGAUGACUUCUAUGUUGAGGAAGUCAUCCCAAAAACAAAAUAGUGAAAUACCGUAUACAAUACAAAGCCAAUAUAAUAAAAAUUAUAAAAAUAUUAAAAUAAAUAAAUACAUUUUUAUAUAUUUAAUUAUUUUUAUCCAUAUAAUUUUUUUUUUUUUUUAAUUUAUAUAUUAUUUAUAUAUUACAUAACUGGAUCUCUGAGAAACUGAGAAAUGUUGCAUUGGCAAUUGAUUUACCUCGUACUUUUUGUUUAAUAGUAAUUUUAUGUGCUUUAAAAAAAUCUUUCUAUUCAUUUUUUUGUUUGUUUGUUUAAUUCAGUUCUAACUCAGUAAUUUUAGUACGUUAACUUAUUUUCACAGCAGCUUUUCCCAGUGCAUUGGUUUGCUUUAGCAGACUCUCCUGACAUGCACACGUGUGUUAUGCUCAGAUUCCCAGCACUCUCAUGCUUCUGUGUGUGUGUCCUCACUGACAUAACAUUGGAGAGUGUGUGAACUUGUGUUAAAUGUUGAUCUUCUGGAUGUGGUGUGUGUGUGUAUGUGUGUGUGUGCAGUACUGGAGCAGCGUGAGGAUCAGAUGCAGGGUUUGGCCUGGAAGGAGGACGGAUCUCUGCUGGCUUCAUCCUGCAAGGAGAAGAAGCUGCGUCUCUUCGACCCUCAGAGCUGAAAAUACUCCUCAUAGUUUGAGGCCGUGCUGGCGCGGUGCGGUCCCUGGCAGCGAGGGGAAACAGGAAAGGGAAUAUUUUCUGGACACGGGGGCCAGAUUUCUCGAUUUCGGCUUCGGCUUCUGCUGCUUUUUGUGAAAUCGGAGAGGCUUUGGAAUGAAAAGGGAAAAAACGCAGACUGAGCGACUGCAGGGGUUUGUGGGAGACGCACACAGACGAGGACGCUGGGUAUAUAUUAGGGGUUACACUUACACCAGAAUACACUGAAAACAAGCAGUGUACGCUUAUCCUGCAUCUCCUCUGACUUCAGAUGAUGAGAAGCUGCUGAAGUGAGCAGCUGGAUGGCAGUCCAGCGUUUCUGGCCUCUAAACGUCUUUCUGAAGUCUGAAAUGAAAACCAGAGAAGCUGACUGUGCAAUUUCCAAAUGGAGAAAAGAAGUGUUUUCUGUUGGGGAUGUGUAAUACAAACAUUACCUCUAUAGCAUCAACAUUUGGAAAUAUGAUAUACAACAUUUAUUGUUUUUCUCCAGGAAAAAGUAGUAUUGUGCAAAAAAUGUAAAGUUGAUUUAUUAUUAUUUAGCUUUUUUUUAAAUAUUAAUUAAUUGAUUAAUGUAUUUAUUUAUUUUUACUUUUUAUGCAUGUAUUUUAUUUUUUUACAUUUAUUUAAUUUACUUGUUUGUAUUCUUAUUUUAAAUAUUUAUAAAUUUCACUUAUAGAAUUACUCAUUUUAUGUUCAUAUUUAUUUACCUAUUUGUAUUAUUUAUUUAUUUAUUCUGUAUUAUUUGCCCAUUUUUAUUGAUUUUAAAAGUAUAUACAAAAUUGAUAUGACAAAAAUAUUUAUUUGUAAAUGUUAAUUUACAUAUUUUUAGUUUGAAUUAUUUUUCAUUUAAAUUGUAACUUUUUUAAAAUAAUUUUUUACUUAUUUUUUAUGUAUUUAAUAAUUUCACUUAUGUAAUUACCUAUUUUAUGUUUAUAUUUACCUAUGCUAAUUUGUUCAUUUAUUUGUUUUUGUAUAUUUAUUAAUUCAUUUAUUUUAAUGAAUUUAUUUACAUUUUUAUGUUUUAAUUUUAUUUUGUACCUGUUUGUUUGUUUAUAUAUAUAUAUAUAUAUAUGAAUUUUGUACCUAUUUAGUUUUAUCUAUUCAUAAUUUAUUAAUAAUAUUUUCACUCGUUCACUCCCUUUUCUUGAGUCAGAAUCAACCGUAUCACAGUGUUUAACAGUAUUGUGACAUGAAUCUAUGUCUGGCGUCAUAUUUCUCUGUAGAGUGACGCAGAGCUCAUGAUUUCCUCAUUAAUAUCUGUCUAUCAUUGUUCUUGCAGAUGAAGCAGCCAGUUUUCAUAAAGGCCUCAUUCUCGACUGCCAGGCAAAUCUGUGAUAAGAGGAUAAUGGUUUUACUCUCACUUUCUAAACAGGGGCCGUCUGUGCGGUCCAGACUGCUGCCUCAGGUGUAGUUACACACUAGCGCAUCAGUGUGAUGUUUUUCCCAUCAGGUCUGUUUGAGCUCGUAGGAAGGAGAGCUGGAGCUUCAGCAUCACCUGCUGAUCUUCAUCUGUUUUCUUCUCUCUCUCUACUCUCGCUGCGCUCGGGUCAUGUGCUGUGUUUUGGACUCUUUGUUAGUGUUGGCCGUCAGGUACAGACCCGUGGCUGACCGCCAGUGUGACAGACACACAUGCUUCUCAUUCAUCGAAUGAUUUCCGGUAGUUAUUUUCUUUACAGUGCAUGUAACACAUUAUGAUCCCACAUAUCUGAGAUCUGUCUUGUGUAAUUUUGGCCACCAAUGUGUGUGUUUUUUUUUUUUUUUUUUAAGGUUGGUAAGCCAGCAGAAUGGAUAGAUAGGUAUUUUGAUUGAUUGAUUGAUUGAUUUUACUUUAUAACAUUAUAUAGUAUUUUAUUUUACAUUUAACAAAAGAAUAGAUACAUAAUAUAUUAACACAGUUUAUAUAAUUUCUUUUAAUAAUGUUUUUGUAAAUAAAUAUAUAUAGAAGUUGUAAUUUUAUAUAGUAAGUCAUAUAAAUUUCAUACAUGAUAUUUCAUCUAUAAUAUAUAAAUAAUUCUAUAAUAUUCCAUUGUAUUAUAAAGUAAUAAAUACAUAAUAUAUUUUACUUUAAAUUGAGAUUUAAUUUAUAUAUAUAAUAUAUAUAUAUAUUUAAAAAUCUAUUUUAAAACUAUUAUUAAUAUAAAAUAUUUUAAAUGUCAUAACAUUUUCUAUAAUUAUAUAUAUAAAAAAGAAUCUCCUUUACACAGCGAUGUACAUGGUAUGGUUAAUAUACCAUCUAUGAUAAAUUAUUUAAAAAUCAAUAAUACAGUUUGUAAUAUUUUAUAAAAUAUUUUGUCUUUUAUUCUGCAAAAUAAUGCAUAGACUUUUUAUAUUUCAUAUAAUAAAAUUGUAUUAUAUAUAUUAUUAUU